Molecule: transfer RNA, 71 nt
Filed under: Loxodonta africana (African savanna elephant)
Lineage: Eukaryota; Metazoa; Chordata; Mammalia; Proboscidea; Elephantidae
Rfam family: tRNA
About the family: Transfer RNA (tRNA) molecules are approximately 80 nucleotides in length. Their secondary structure includes four short double-helical elements and three loops (D, anti-codon, and T loops).
Source: Rfam by way of RNAcentral
AGAUUGGUGGUUCAGUGGUAGAGUGCUCACCUUCCAUGCCAGAGACCUGGGUUCGAUUCCCGGUUGAUGCA